GGGGGUACGGCUCAGUGUUAGAGCGCUCCCUUAGUACGGGAGAGGGCCGGGGUUCGAUUAACUAUCUUCCCU
Non-coding RNA from Dictyocaulus viviparus (bovine lungworm), 72 nucleotides. NCBI's taxonomy places the organism in Eukaryota, Metazoa, Nematoda, Chromadorea, Rhabditida, Metastrongylidae. The record is from the annotation of a GenBank genome assembly.